This is a long non-coding RNA of Pogoniulus pusillus (Red-fronted tinkerbird), 818 nucleotides long. RefSeq lists it as uncharacterized. The transcript has 3 exons. Lineage: Eukaryota; Metazoa; Chordata; Aves; Piciformes; Lybiidae. The record is from RefSeq and is a predicted model, not a curated record.
UGCCUGCCUCCUAACAGCAUCCUGGUUCCUGAUGCUCCUGCUUUUGGCCACCUUACCACAUGGAAACAUCCCUCUCAAACUUCAAAUGUCUUCCCCUGGGUACUGCAGAAACCCUGGACAGGAGAUCAAUGCUCAGUGCCAGCACAGGAGACCUGUCUGAACAUCGUGGCAGAGAUCCCAUGCAGCUGCCAAGUGAACUUUGUAACAGACCAGGCAAGGUCAAAGAAAACCAACAAAAUGACGUGCAGGGCACUAAGCAGUGCCAGGUACAGGAUCAGCUGUGCACCGGGAAUCGCUCCCCUGCUCUGAUAACCACCAGUGACAAUGGUAGGAAUUAGGUUACCUCAAUAAUAUUUCUUCAGGACAAGUGUCAGAUCUGACUGAGGAAAUCUGUUUUCUUGUGGUGUGGUUGGUUCUGCCUUGAUCAGGGCUUUUUGUUCCCUUCCUGUGAGGAUUUAUAUUCACUGACUCUGAAAUAUUUCCAUGUCCAUGCUAUUUAAAGGACGUUUUCCCAUGAACACCUUACUGUAGCUGCAAAAAACCCACUCAACCAACCCAAAGGAGGAAUGAACAUCACUGACAUUUUACUUUUAAGGUUGAUUGGUUGGUUUGGUUUUUUUUUCAGUGUUAUUUAAUUGCAUCAGGUAUUAAGUAAGAAAAUAUAUCCACCUUUUUUUGGGGUGUGCAUGUCUUGCUGCCAGACAGACAUUGAAAUACAGAAGUCAUUUGGUUGGAAUGUCCAAAUUUAAGGUGGUAGAUUUGCCAGUGAGUAAGGUCUGGCCUGAGUUAUGGGUAUGAGGAACAGUCUGAGUUCAAAC